This 101-nucleotide small RNA is filed under the name uncultured Parendozoicomonas sp. RNAcentral describes it as "t44 RNA". It matches the Rfam family "t44 RNA". Rfam says of the family: This family consists of a number of bacterial RNA genes of between 135 and 170 bases in length. The t44 gene is found between the map and rpsB genes in all species in the full alignment apart from Shigella flexneri. Lineage: Bacteria; Pseudomonadati; Pseudomonadota; Gammaproteobacteria; Oceanospirillales; Endozoicomonadaceae. The record is from RNAcentral.
AUUUACAAAAAUCGCACAUAUACCGACACGUGAUCCGGGGUGCCCCAUGGCCUGUUUUGAGGCUAUAGAGGGUCGGAUUAUGGGGUGUAUGGAGGCAUAAC